GUAUCGUGGAGAACCGAGUUCAGGUUGCAAGUACCCGGAUUUGGGGGCGUCACAGGUUGGUAUCAAAGCUGUAGGUUAUAAACGUUAGGAAUGCGAAACCUAGGUUAUAACCUUAGUAGAAUGGAGGACGAAAGUUAAGAUAAAUAUUCAGUGAACCAAGAGACGAAGUACUCUGGUGAAGAAUUAAAAGAUAUGUUAGAUAGAUGAUGAGUCGAGAAGAUUCAUCAAGUGGUACUAAAUAAAAUAUUCCUUCAUUUUAUCGAUGAAGAUAUUUUAUUUCAGUACUAAUGUUGUCUCGUUUAUUGUGGUCAUAGGAUGGAUGACGAAAGUCAAAAUAGUAAUUCCUUGACCCAAGAGACGAUGGACUCUAGCGAGGAGUACACAGACAGUGAGAUGAUAAGAGAUUUGAUAGUUAGGAACGACGACUUAAAGGUUAGAGCUGAGCAGGCGGAGGCACAUAAUUGUACUCUCCAGAUUUCGGAAUAGCAGUAUAAGGACGCUGCUCACCAAGCACAGAUGGAGUUAGCCGAGUUACGAGGGAGGUUGGAGCAGAGAGAGAUACAGAUAGGACAGUUGAAGGUUGAGAUAGAAGCCAAAGACACCAAGAUAUAUACCUUGGAGCAGGCUUUAGUCAUCACCUUCAUACGAUUCGAUGCAGAGUGGAUGGAGCUGCCUUUCGGUAGAGAGAUAGGCGUUGAUGAGAAUUGAAUAAAUUCAUCUUCAAACAAAAUAAGAGACAACGUAUAUAAAACUCUUGAUUGCUGUGUAUAUAUACUAUAUGUUAAUCAGGGUAACUUAUGUAUGUAGAUGUCUGGUGGAAAAGAUAUGUGGAAUAAGAAGGAUCAGAUCCAUACCCCCGAGCUAAUAUCGAGGCCAACAACUGAAAUAGAAGCUUACCAGGAACCCAAAUCGGACGAGGUGGCUAUAGUGGAAAACAUAGUAUCAGAUCCAGAAAUGGUGGAUUUGACGGAUAGUGAUUCAGACACUAAAGUUGAAGCUGCUCAAGCAUCAACGGAGGUGCAGGAUCUGGAGAACAAGGUUUCUUCACUAGAAAGGUUGUGGGAG
This 1065-nucleotide long non-coding RNA is filed under the name Panax ginseng (ginseng). RNAcentral's name for it is "long non-coding RNA (PGIN_LNC002322)". The record is from RNAcentral. Lineage: Eukaryota; Viridiplantae; Streptophyta; Magnoliopsida; Apiales; Araliaceae.